Molecule: ribosomal RNA, 1382 nt
Filed under: uncultured marine bacterium
Lineage: Bacteria
Description: bacterial SSU rRNA
Rfam family: Bacterial small subunit ribosomal RNA
Source: RNAcentral
GAGUUUGAUCCUGGCUCAGGACGAACGCUGGCGGUGCGCCUUAUGCAUGCAAGUUGAGCGAAGCUUUUUGGUAGUUUACUACUAGAAAUGACUGAGCGGCGAACGGGUGAGUAACGCGUGAGCAAUCUACCUUAGUUACUGGGAUAGCCCGAGGAAACUCGGAUUAAUACCGGAUAUUCUUAUUUUUUCACAUGAAGUUUUAAGGAAAGGUCAGCCGAACUAAGAUGAGCUCGCGUUCUAUCAGCUAGUUGGUGGGGUAAAAGCCUACCAAGGCUACGACGGAUAGCUGGUCUGAGAGGACGAUCAGCCACACUGGGACUGAGACACGGCCCAGACUCCUACGGGAGGCUGCAGCAGGGAAUAUUGUGCAAUGAGCGAAAGCUUGACACAGCGACACCGCGUGUGGGAUGACGGUUCUAGGAUUGUAAACCACUUUCAGGAGGGAAGAAAAUGACGGUACCUCCACAAGAAGACCCGGCCAACUAUGUGCCAGCAGCCGCGGUAAUACAUAGGGGUCAAGCGUUGUCCGGAUUUAUUGGGCGUAAAGAGCUCGUAGGCGGUUCAACAAGUCGGUCGUAAAAGUUUAGGGCUCAACCCUAAAAUGUCGAUCGAUACUGUUGUGACUAGGAUACGGUAGAGGUGAAUGGAAUUCCGAGUGUAGCGGUGAAAUGCGUAGAUAUUCGGAGGAACACCAAUUGCGAAGGCAGUUCACUGGACCGUGAUCGACGCUGAGGAGCGAAAGCUAGGGGAGCAAACAGGAUUAGAUACCCUGGUAGUCCUAGCUGUAAACGAUGGAUACUAGAUGUAGGAACUGGAUUGACGGUUUCUGUAUCGUAGCUGACGCGUUAAGUAUCCCGCCUGGGGAGUACGGUCGCAAGACUAAAACUCAAAGGAAUUGACGGGACCCCGCACAAGCGGCGGAGCAUGCGGCUUAAUUCGAUGAUACCCGUAGAACCUUACCUGGACUUGACAUAUAGGGAAAAACUGGAGAAAUCCAGUGUGCGUAAGCGCCCUAUACAGGUGGUGCAUGGCUGUCGUCAGCUCGUGUCGUGAGAUGUUGGGUUAAGUCCCGCAACGAGCGCAACCCCUGUCCUAUGUUGCCAGCAAGUAAUGUUGGGGACUCAUAGGAGACUGCCGGUGAUAAACCAGAGGAAGGUGGGGACGACGUCAAGUCAUCAUGCCCCUUAUGUCCAGGGCUGCACGCAUGCUACAAUGGCAAGUACAACGAGUCGCAAUACCGCGAGGUGGAGCAAAUCUCUUAAAGCUUGUCUCAGUUCGGAUAGGAGUCUGCAACUCGACUCCUUGAAGUUGGAGUCGCUAGUAAUCGCAAAUCAGCAAAGUUGCGGUGAAUACGUUCUCGGGGUUUGUACACACCGCCCGUC